CCUCCCUUCACCUGCUGACCACGCUUCUUUUGAUGCAGCCCAGGAUAUGGACUUCCAACAGACUGCAAGCUUGGGCUUUACAGGCCAGCGGUGGAGCCAACAGGAAGGCCUCUGGAUUUUCAAAAAGGACCAAGAAGUCUGAUAAUCAGGUGCUUUGUUUGAUGUUUUUACUGGCUGUCUUACUUAAGGAUUCUGUCAGUCCACAGGCACGUUUGGUUGGUUUGGCUGGAGCUUUGGAGCUUGGUGCUUAUGACUUCAGUUCUUUAUGACACAGAGCCGUGCCACGUGCUGCCUAGACCAAAUACACGUAUUAUUGGGGGAGAUUACUCUGUGCAUUGUACUUUUUAAAAUGCUUUUAAAGUGUGAGGAUGGUAUCUGCCUUCAAACAGGUAACGUCUAAAAGACAUUUUUCUUUUUUCUU
RNAcentral lists this long non-coding RNA (421 nucleotides) under Gallus gallus (chicken). The record is from RNAcentral. Lineage: Eukaryota; Metazoa; Chordata; Aves; Galliformes; Phasianidae.